This is a small nucleolar RNA of Jaculus jaculus (lesser Egyptian jerboa), 65 nucleotides long. Lineage: Eukaryota; Metazoa; Chordata; Mammalia; Rodentia; Dipodidae. The record is from Ensembl.
UUUCUGUGAUGAAUCAUACUAGCUCACUACGACUGGCAAUGAAAAUACAUGAACACCUGAGAAAG